AAACUGAAGAUGGCGACCGGCGCACGGGUGAGUAACACGUAUCCAACCUGCCGAUAACUCCGGAAUAGCCUUUCGAAAGAAAGAUUAAUACCGGAUGGCAUACGAAUAUCGCAUGAUAUUUUUAUUAAAGAAUUUCGGUUAUCGAUGGGGAUGCGUUCCAUUAGUUUGUUGGGGGGGUAACGGCCCACCAAGACUACGAUGGAUAGGGGUUCUGAGAGGAAGGUCCCCCACAUUGGAACUGAGACACGGUCCAA
RNAcentral lists this ribosomal RNA (254 nucleotides) under uncultured bacterium. RNAcentral describes it as "partial 16S ribosomal RNA". It matches the Rfam family "Bacterial small subunit ribosomal RNA", at positions 79 to 334 of the family's 1533-position model. The record is from RNAcentral.